RNAcentral lists this ribosomal RNA (253 nucleotides) under uncultured bacterium. RNAcentral's name for it is "partial 16S ribosomal RNA". It matches the Rfam family "Bacterial small subunit ribosomal RNA", at positions 524 to 776 of the family's 1533-position model. The record is from RNAcentral.
UACGUAGGUGGCAAGCGUUGUCCGGAUUUACUGGGCGUAAAGAGCGCGCAGGCGGUCGUUCAAGUCGCGUGUGAAAGCCCCCGGCUCAACUGGGGAGUGUCACGCGAUACUGAUCGACUCGAAGGCAGGAGAGGGUAGUGGAAUUCCCGGUGUAGUGGUGAAAUGCGCAGAUAUCAGGAAGAACACCCGUGGCGAAGGCGGCUCUCUGGGACGGUACUGACGCUGAGACGCGAAAGCGUGGGGAGCGAACAGG